Molecule: long non-coding RNA, 259 nt
Filed under: Salvia miltiorrhiza (redroot sage)
Lineage: Eukaryota; Viridiplantae; Streptophyta; Magnoliopsida; Lamiales; Lamiaceae
Description: long non-coding RNA (SMIL_LNC009718)
Source: RNAcentral
CCUCAUUCUUAGCCGACAGACCACAUCGUGAAUUUUUUUUAAUUUUUGAGAGAGGGGUAUUUCUGACUUUUUACACAAAAUCUGGCCAGCUUUUUAAGUUUUUUUUUUCAUAGGCCAAAUUAAGUUUACUAUAUAAAGCUGGUCAAAUCUAUAUAUUACCUCUUAUAUCUGUAUAUUAUGUUUGUCUGCAUUUUCUUUUUUAAAGUUAUCAAUUACUCAACCAAUCUUAUUACAACUUUUCAUCCAUCCAUAAAAAUUG